This 375-nucleotide long non-coding RNA is filed under the name Setaria italica (foxtail millet). RNAcentral describes it as "long non-coding RNA (SITA_LNC001835)". Lineage: Eukaryota; Viridiplantae; Streptophyta; Magnoliopsida; Poales; Poaceae. The record is from RNAcentral.
AUGUGGAGGGAAGGGCAGAGCUUCGAUGAUGCCUUCCAGUUUGUGAAGGCUGCUCGUGGGAUUGCAAAUCCAAAUAUGGGGUUCGCCUGCCAGCUGCUCCAGUGCCAGAAGCGGGUGCACGCGAUUCCGUUGUCCCCAAAUUCAGUCCUCAGGAUGUACCGUAUGGCACCUCACUCGCAGUAUGCCCCUCUGCACCUAGUGCCCAAAAUGCUUAAUGAACCAUCCCCUGCCGCCCUGGACUCUAGAGGUGCAUUCAUUGUACAUGUUCUGUCUUCGAUCUAUGUCUGGGUUGGAAUGAAGUGUGAUCCGGUAAUGGAGAAAGAUGCAAGAGCUGCAGCCUUUCAGGUUGUGAGGUAUGAGAAGGUGCAGGGGCAC